AGAAGAAGCAGUUGGCCAAAUGUUAGGCACUGUGAAUCUUGUCAUGGGCUCAUCUUCAGCCGCCAUGGCUACUCCAACGCAUUCUGCUGCCGUGAAAUCUCUUGCGAGCUCCAGAAUUGGUCACCACAACCACUGCCGGACUCUUCCAUUGCCUUUGGGAUUGCCUUCUGCUUCUAUUUCCAGCUCCUGCUUCUUGUCUCCG
This 202-nucleotide unclassified non-coding RNA is filed under the name Hevea brasiliensis (rubber tree). Lineage: Eukaryota; Viridiplantae; Streptophyta; Magnoliopsida; Malpighiales; Euphorbiaceae. The record is from RNAcentral.